UUAAAUUGAAGAGUUUGAUCAUGGCUCAGAUUGAACGCUGGCGGCAGGCCUAACACAUGCAAGUCGAACGGUAACAGGAAAC
This 82-nucleotide ribosomal RNA is filed under the name Escherichia coli. RNAcentral's name for it is "partial 16S ribosomal RNA". It matches the Rfam family "Bacterial small subunit ribosomal RNA", at positions 1 to 80 of the family's 1533-position model. Lineage: Bacteria; Pseudomonadati; Pseudomonadota; Gammaproteobacteria; Enterobacterales; Enterobacteriaceae. The record is from RNAcentral. RNAcentral also lists the same sequence under 2 other names.